This 292-nucleotide ribosomal RNA is filed under the name uncultured bacterium. Its description in RNAcentral is "partial 16S ribosomal RNA". It matches the Rfam family "Bacterial small subunit ribosomal RNA", at positions 505 to 796 of the family's 1533-position model. The record is from RNAcentral.
GUGUCAGCCGCCGCGGUAAUACGGAGGGUGCAAGCGUUAUCCGGAUUUACUGGGUUUAAAGGGUGCGUAGGCGGGUUGGUAAGUCAGUGGUGAAAGCCCCGAGCCUAACUCGGGAACUGCCAUUGAUACUAUCAAUCUUGAAUUCAGUUGAGGUGGGCGGAAUGUGUCGUGUAGCGGUGAAAUGCUUAGAUAUGACACAGAACACCAAUUGCGAAGGCAGCUCGCUAAACUGACAUUGACGCUGAGGCACGAAAGCGUGGGGAUCAAACAGGAUUAGAUACCCCGGUAGUCC